RNAcentral lists this ribosomal RNA (891 nucleotides) under Paenibacillus sp. GMCo16. Its description in RNAcentral is "bacterial SSU rRNA". It matches the Rfam family "Bacterial small subunit ribosomal RNA", at positions 612 to 1533 of the family's 1533-position model. The record is from RNAcentral. Lineage: Bacteria; Bacillati; Bacillota; Bacilli; Caryophanales; Paenibacillaceae.
ACUGGGAAAUUUUGGAGAUGACUCGAGGUACAGAAUGAUGGAAAAGGAGGAGUUUACACGUCCUAGCGGGUGAAAUGCAUAGAUAUGUAGAUGAAACAGCCAGUGCCGAAGGCGACUUUCUGGGCUGUGAACUGACGCUGAGGCGCGAAAGCGAGGGGAGCAGGCAGGAUCAGAUACCCUGGUAGUGCACGCCGUAACCGAUGAGUACUAGGUGUUAGAGGGUUUCGAUACCCUUGAGUGCCGAAGUUAACACAGUAAGCAAUCUCGCCUGGGGAGUACGGUCGCAAGACUGAAACUCAAAGGAAUUGACGGGGGGGCGCACAAGCAGUGGAGUAUGUGGUUUAAUUCGAAGCAACGAGAAGAACCUUACCAGGUCUUGACAUCCCUCUGAAUAUGUUAGAGAUAGCAGCGGCCUUCGUGACAGAGGUGACAGGUGGUGCAUGGUUGUCGUCAGCUCGUGUCGUGAGAUGAUGGGUUAAGUACCGCAACGAGCGCAACCAUUCACUUUAGUUGCCAGCAGGUAAUUCUGGGCACUAUUGAAAGGAGACCGGUGACAAACCGGAGGAAGAAGGGGAGGACGACAAAUCAUCAUCAUCCCCAUGACGUGGGGUACACACGUACUACAAUGGCCGGUACAACGGGAAGUGAACACGCGAGGUGGAGGCAAUCCCAUCAAAGCCGGUAUCAGUUUGGAUUGCAGGCUGCAACUCGCCUGCAUGAAGUCGGAAUUGCUAGUAAUCGCGGAUCAGCAUGCCGCGGUGAAUACGUUCCCGGGUCUUGUACACACCGCCCGUCACACCACGAGAGUUUACAACACCCGAAGUCGGGGGGAAAUCUUUGGGAUUCGCGGCCGCUGCAAAGUUGUACCUGUUCAGCGCAGAUCAGCGACAU